GUGACAGCGGAGGGAUCAUUACAGAGUUGCAAACUCCUAACCAUUGUGAACGAACCCGUUAUAGUUGCUUCGGCGGGUGGUGCGCUGUAACCGCCCGCCGAUAGCAUGCAAUCUCUAGAUUACAGUGGAUCUCUGAGUCGCUUAUUUAAUAAGUCAAAACUUUCAACAACGGAUCUCUUGGUUCUGGCAUCGAUGAAGAACGCAGCGAAAUGCGAUAAGUAAUGUGAAUUGCAGAAUUCAGUGAAUCAUCGAAUCUUUGAACGCACAUUGCGCCCGCCAGUAUUCUGGCGGGCAUGCCUGUUCGAGCGUCAUUUCAACCAUCAAGCCCUGUCUAGGCUUGUGUUGGGGCCCUGCGGCUACCGCAGCCCCCUAAAUGCAGUGGCGGGCUCGUUGUCACUCCGAGCGCAGUAGCGUAUCUCGCUCUGGGCGUGGCGGCGGGUGCUAGCCGUGAAAUACUCACUUAAGGUUGACCUCGGAUCAGGUAGGAAUACCCGCUGAACUUAAGCAUAUCAAUAAGCGGAGGA
Molecule: ribosomal RNA, 524 nt
Filed under: uncultured Sordariales
Lineage: Eukaryota; Fungi; Ascomycota; Sordariomycetes; Sordariales
Description: eukaryotic LSU rRNA
Rfam family: 5.8S ribosomal RNA (bases 158-311)
Source: RNAcentral